UAGGUUUUGGGUUAGGAUUUACGGUUUGGGUUUAGUAUUUACCGUUUGGAUUUAUAGUUAAAGUUUUGGGUUUAGGGUAUAUAAUUUGGGUUUAAGGUUUACGGUUUGGGUUUAAGGUCUAGAACUUGAGUUUAGGGUAUAGAAUUUAGGUUUAUAGUCUAGUUUUUGGGUUUAGGGUAUAUAAUUUGGGUUUAGGGUCUAUGAUUAGGGUUUAUGGUAUAGGGUUUGGGUUUAGGGGUUUGGAUUUGAGUUUAGAAUUUAGGGUAUAGGGUUUAGAAUUUAAGAUUUAGGGUUUAGGUGGAAGCUUUAGCGUCGUUAAAAUUAGCGUUUUUAUUUUUUGUAACUAUUUUUUAUUUAAUUUAGUGUUUUUUUAAUUAAUAUAUUAUGUGGAAAUUUGAUUGGUUUUAAAGGGUGAAGUGAAUUUAAAGGUUCACCCCCUAGGGUGAAUCUAAGUUCUGUCCAUAAAAAAUAGGACUCUGUUUUAAUAGAUUAGAUAUCAAGUUUGGUUUGGAUAUUUCGGAUAUCAAUUUGGAUAUAGG
RNAcentral lists this long non-coding RNA (539 nucleotides) under Brassica rapa (field mustard). Its description in RNAcentral is "long non-coding RNA (BRAP_LNC007192)". Lineage: Eukaryota; Viridiplantae; Streptophyta; Magnoliopsida; Brassicales; Brassicaceae. The record is from RNAcentral.